UACGAAGGGGGCUAGCGUUGUUCGGAAUUACUGGGCGUAAAGGGCGCGCAGGCGGUCGUCCAAGUCGCGUGUGAAAGCCCCCGGCUCAACUGGGGAGGGUCACGCGAUACUGGUCGACUCGAAGGCAGGAGAGGGUAGUGGAAUUCCCGGUGUAGUGGUGAAAUGCGUAGAUAUCGGGAGGAACACCAGUGGCGAAGGCGACUACCUGGCCUGUUCUUGACGCUGAGGCGCGAAAGCUAGGGGAGCAAACGGG
This 253-nucleotide ribosomal RNA is filed under the name uncultured bacterium. Its description in RNAcentral is "partial 16S ribosomal RNA". It matches the Rfam family "Bacterial small subunit ribosomal RNA", at positions 524 to 776 of the family's 1533-position model. The record is from RNAcentral.